GGCUACUGCUAUUGGGAUUCGACUAAGCCAUGCGAGUCAAGGUGUCUUCGGACGCCGGCAUACGGCUCAGUAACACGUAGGUAACCUACCCUCAGGACUGAGAUAACCCCGGGAAACUGGGGCUAAUAUUAGAUAGAUAAAAGAUACUGGAAUGUUCUUUUAUCCAAAGCUUUUGCGCCUGAGGAUGGGCCUGCGCCCGAUUAGGUUGUUGGUGGGGUAAUGGCCCACCAAGCCUACGAUCGGUACGGGCAGUGGGAGCUGAAGCCCGGAGUUGGGGACUGAGACAAGGCCCCAGGCCCUACGGGGCGCAGCAGGCGCGAAACCUCUGCAAUGCGGGAAACCGUGACAGGGGGAUCCCAAGUGCUCAUGCAUUGCAUGGGCUGUUCUUUGGUCUAAGUAACCAGAGGAGUAAGGGCUGGGCAAGACCGGUGCCAGCCGCCGCGGUAAUACCGGCAGCUCAAGUGGUAGCCGCGAUUAUUGGGCCUAAAACGUUCGUAGCCGGAUAAGUAAGUCUUUGGUUAAAUCCUGCGACUUAACCGUGGGAAAUCUAGAGAUACUGCUUGUCUUGAGACCGGGAGAGGUUGGAGGUACUCCCAGGAUAGGGGUGAAAUCCUGUAAUCCUGGGGGGACCACCUGUGGCGAAGGCGUCCAACUGGAACGGGUCUGACGGUGAGGGACGAAACCUAGGGGAGCGAGCCGGAUUAGAUACCCGGGUAGUCCUAGGCGUAAAUGAUGCGAGUUAAGUGUGGGGGCAUCCACGAGAUGGCCCUGUGCUGUAGGGUAGCCGUUAAACUCGCUGCCUGGGGAGUACGGUCGCAAG
Molecule: ribosomal RNA, 820 nt
Filed under: uncultured archaeon
Lineage: Archaea
Description: bacterial SSU rRNA
Rfam family: Archaeal small subunit ribosomal RNA
Source: RNAcentral